CCUACGGGAGGCAGCAGUGGGGAAUAUUGCACAAUGGGGGAAACCCUGAUGCAGCGACGCCGCGUGAGUGAAGAAGUAAUUCGUUAUGUAAAGCUCUAUCAGCAGGGAAGAAAAUGACGGUACCUGAGUAAGAAGCCCCGGCUAACUACGUUCCAGCAGCCGCGGUAAUACGUAGGGGGCAAGCGUUAUCCGGAUUUACUGGGUGGAAAGGGAGCGUAGACGGCAGUGCAAGUCUGGAGUGAAAGGCGGGGGCUCAACCCCCGGACUGCUCUGGAAACUGGACGGCUGGAGUGCAGGAGAGGAGAGUGGAAUUCCUGGUGUAGCGGUGAAAUGCGUAGAUAUUAGGAGGAACACCAGUGGCGAAGGCGGCUUACUGGACUGUAACUGACGUUGAGGCUCGAAAGCGUGGGGAGCAAACAGGAUUAGAUACCCCUGUAGUC
RNAcentral lists this ribosomal RNA (440 nucleotides) under uncultured bacterium. RNAcentral describes it as "partial 16S ribosomal RNA". It matches the Rfam family "Bacterial small subunit ribosomal RNA", at positions 338 to 795 of the family's 1533-position model. The record is from RNAcentral.